This 76-nucleotide microRNA precursor is filed under the name Mus pahari (shrew mouse). Its description in RNAcentral is "microRNA 5106 (MGP_PahariEiJ_G0007264.1)". Lineage: Eukaryota; Metazoa; Chordata; Mammalia; Rodentia; Muridae. The record is from RNAcentral.
CACUCCAGCAACAAGAGCAACAGCAACAACCCAAGAGCCUAUCCUGGGCAUAGGUCUGUAGCUCAGUUGGCAGAGU